AGCUUUUUUAUUAGUGUAGCUCACCCUGUGGUAACCUGAGUAGAUGGUACGUUCCACUUAGGUGAGGCUGAGAGGGUAAAAGGCCAAUCACUGGUCAACUGAGUGGAGUAAGGAAGAGAAUAGUCCAGCCUGCUGACCUGCUUCUUUAACAUCUUUAACCCUGUGUCUAGACAGCACACAUAGAACGAGCAGCAUGUCAGCAGAGCAGCAGCGAGUGCUCCGUCAGAAACAUCACACCUGCCUGUCAUCAAGCCAUCACCACUUCCCUACAGGAACACUGCACUGAGAGCUAUUCCUCGCCGGAUCAUUGUGCCACUCACAGUUUAUUGGAUUACCUGCCUUCUUGCCCGCCUGACUUGCCCACUAAGCCCACCAAUCAGCUCACAUCCUUAGGAUUCCCUCUGUCAAGCCUCCUCUCGGAAUCCUCCCCCUCACCUCAGCCCAAACACCAGCUAGCCACCAUCUCACCAACCCUGCCUGUCUCAGCAAUAAAAGACUCAAUUCACCAUACCUCCUUGUCUACUAUCUGCAUGUGUGUGACAAUGCUUCAAAAAAACUUUAAGAUGACCUCAUUAAUACCGCUGAGACAAUACCAAGAUUUAGUUGCUAAUUUUAUUGAUUGUAAUUGCUAUUGCUUUUAAUCUUUUUUGUUAUUUUUAUUUAUUUGUCUCAUUGUCAAUUCCUGCACUUUUACCUUUAACAUUGUUAAUUUUACCUUUUAUUUAAUUGAUAUAUUGAUGUAUUCUUCUGUUAUUGCUACCAUCUAGUUUUCUUUGGUGAUUUUAGUUGUUGUUGUAUCUGCUGUCAUUGUAUGUCUGUAUGUCGGGACCAUUGCAAAAGAGAGUUCUCCCUCAAUGUAUUUUCCGAGGAUUCAAAUAAAUAAAAUGAAAAUUAAAG
This is a long non-coding RNA of Thunnus maccoyii (southern bluefin tuna), 897 nucleotides long. RefSeq lists it as uncharacterized. NCBI's taxonomy places the organism in Eukaryota, Metazoa, Chordata, Actinopteri, Scombriformes, Scombridae. The record is from RefSeq and is a predicted model, not a curated record. The transcript is spliced from 4 exons.